Molecule: non-coding RNA, 117 nt
Filed under: Homo sapiens (human)
Lineage: Eukaryota; Metazoa; Chordata; Mammalia; Primates; Hominidae
Source: Rfam by way of RNAcentral
GCUGGGCGUGGUGGCGCACGCCUGUAAUCCCAGCACUUUGGGAGGCCGAGGCGGGCGGAUCACCUGAGGUCGGGAGUUUGAGACCAGCCUGACCAACAUGAUGAAACCUCGUCUCUA